Non-coding RNA from Cinara cedri, 284 nucleotides. Lineage: Eukaryota; Metazoa; Arthropoda; Insecta; Hemiptera; Aphididae. The record is from the annotation of a GenBank genome assembly.
GCGAGCAACCCUGAGUAGUAGAUUUUGAGCGUGUUCAACGCAUAUUUCUUUAUUUUUCUAUAGUUUAAGUACUAAAAAUUGAUUGCCAUCACCACGAUUACACGUCUGUUUUUAACCGACUCGGCCUUGACUCGCGUUUUACGACUUUUUACAAAAGCUUUUAUCCAGACGUAUCGACUCUAUAUACUUAUACUUUUAAAUAUUACCACUCGCCUGUCACGUCAAUCAAUUUAUUUUUCCUUACACAUUUUUCCUCCGCUAACUACAUAAUAUGGUCAAAAUAA